UUUCCGUAGGUGAACCUGCGGAAGGAUCAUUAUCGAGUUGAGGGUCGCCCUCGCGCGCCCGAACCUCCCAACCCUGUGUCUACCACACCUUGUCGUUGCUUCGGCGGACCGGCCGCGCGUUUCGUGACCAACUGGUCGCACGCCGGCCGCCGGGGGCCCUUCGUGCCCCUGGAGAGCGUCCGCCGAUGGCCCAACCACACAAACUCUUGUACCGAAACGUGUCGUCUGAACGAAAACAAGUGAUUGUAUAAUCAAACACAAAACUUUCAACAACGGAUCUCUUGGUUCUG
RNAcentral lists this unclassified non-coding RNA (290 nucleotides) under uncultured fungus. RNAcentral's name for it is "partial contains small subunit ribosomal RNA, internal transcribed spacer 1, and 5.8S ribosomal RNA". The record is from RNAcentral. RNAcentral also lists the same sequence under 1 other name. Lineage: Eukaryota; Fungi.